RNAcentral lists this ribosomal RNA (521 nucleotides) under Podosphaera xanthii. RNAcentral's name for it is "eukaryotic LSU rRNA". The stretch from base 213 to 366 matches the Rfam family "5.8S ribosomal RNA". Lineage: Eukaryota; Fungi; Ascomycota; Leotiomycetes; Helotiales; Erysiphaceae. The record is from RNAcentral.
CCCUUCCGUAGGUGAACCUGCGGAAGGAUCAUUACUGAGCGCGAGGCCCCGCAGCGCGCACGCGCUGCGGCGGUUGACCCUCCACCCGUGUGAACUCUUAUCUGUUGCUUUGGCGGGCCGGGCUCGACCUGCCGGCUCCGGCUGGCGAGUGCCCGUCAGAGAAGCCCCAACUCGUGCUGUGAGUGUUGUCUGAGGAAAUGUGGAAUUAGUAAAACUUUCAACAACGGAUCUCUUGGCUCUGGCAUCGAUGAAGAACGCAGCGAAAUGCGAUAAGUAAUGUGAAUUGCAGAAUUUAGUGAAUCAUCGAAUCUUUGAACGCACAUUGCGCCCCCCGGCAUUCCGAGGGGCAUGCCUGUUCGAGCGUCAGAACACCCCUCAAGCCUAGCUUGGUCUUGGGGCUCGCCGGCUCGGCGGCCCCUAAACGCAGUGGCGGUGCUGGAGUGCUCUCCGCGUAGUCAUGUAUCUCGCGACAUAGUGGCGACGGCACCCGCCAGAACCCCAGUCUUUGGAUGACCUCGGAU